Melospiza georgiana is the source of this 403-nucleotide long non-coding RNA. RefSeq lists it as uncharacterized. The transcript is spliced from 4 exons. NCBI's taxonomy places the organism in Eukaryota, Metazoa, Chordata, Aves, Passeriformes, Passerellidae. The record is from RefSeq and is a predicted model, not a curated record.
CUGACUUCAGGCCCCUUGUAGUGCUUUCCGGACAUCCUCUGCGCUCAUGAAGACGCUUUGCUCGCAGCCAGGGGAAAAAGAAAUGCAAGCAGGAGUGACUCGAGAAGAAAAACAGCAGAGCAGCACAGUGAAGGCUGUAGUUCCGACACUUAAAACAGGUGGACCAAUCUGAACUUUGAGGUGUUUCCAUCCAUUAUCUAGGAAGAAUCUGUCAAGGAUUAUUUGCACAACAUCAGGUUUCUAGCAGUGAAGCUUGGAAUUGGCCAGGAACAUCAGACCAAGCGAGGUCACAGCUCCAUGCAACAUGCUAACUGUGAAAGUGGUAUUUAAAAUGUCCAGCCUGCCACCUGUAGAGCAAGCAAUCCUGAUACUCAAAACUCAUGGUUUCUUGUGCUUGAGACAG